Molecule: ribosomal RNA, 111 nt
Filed under: Serratia marcescens
Lineage: Bacteria; Pseudomonadati; Pseudomonadota; Gammaproteobacteria; Enterobacterales; Yersiniaceae
Description: partial 16S ribosomal RNA
Rfam family: Bacterial small subunit ribosomal RNA
Source: RNAcentral
UAGCUUAACCUUCGGGAGGGCGCUUACCACUUUGUGAUUCAUGACUGGGGUGAAGUCGUAACAAGGUAACCGUAGGGGAACCUGCGGUUGGAUCACCUCCUUACCUAAAGA